GACGAACGCUGGCGGCGUGCUUAACACAUGCAAGUCGAACGGAAAGGCCCUGCUUUUGUGGGGUGCUCGAGUGGCGAACGGGUGAGUAACAAGUGAGUAACCUGCCCUUGACUUUGGGAUAACUUCAGGAAACUGGGGCUAAUACCGGAUAGGAGCUCCUGCUGCAUGGUGGGGGUUGGAAAGUUUCGGCGGUUGGGGUUGGACUCGCGGCUUAUCCGCUUGUUGGUGGGGUAGUGGCUUACCAAGGCUUUGAAGGGUAGCCGGCCUGAGAGGGUGACCGGCCACAUUGGGACUGAGAUACGGCCCAGACUCCUACGGGAGGCAGCAGUGGGGAAUAUUGCACAAUGGGCGGAAGCCUGAUGCAGCAACGCCGCGUGCGGGAUGACGGCCUUCGGGUUGUAAACCGCUUUCGCCUGGGACGAAGCGUGAGUGACGGUAAUGGGUAAAGAGGCACCGGCUAACUACGUG
This 468-nucleotide ribosomal RNA is filed under the name uncultured bacterium. RNAcentral describes it as "partial 16S ribosomal RNA". It matches the Rfam family "Bacterial small subunit ribosomal RNA", at positions 28 to 507 of the family's 1533-position model. The record is from RNAcentral.